This 428-nucleotide ribosomal RNA is filed under the name Gemmatimonadota bacterium. Its description in RNAcentral is "Gemmatimonadetes bacterium partial 16S ribosomal RNA". It matches the Rfam family "Bacterial small subunit ribosomal RNA", at positions 355 to 776 of the family's 1533-position model. The record is from RNAcentral. Lineage: Bacteria; Pseudomonadati; Gemmatimonadota.
UAGGGAAUCUUCGGCAAUGGACGAAAGUCUGACCGAGCAACGCCGCGUGAGUGAAGAAGGUUUCGGAUCGUAAAACCCUGUUGUUAGAGAAGAACAAGGACGUUAGUAACUGAACGUCCCCCGACGGUAUCUAACCAGAAAGCCACGGCUAACUACGUGCCAGCAGCCGCGGUAAUACGUAGGUGGCAAGCGUUGUCCGGAUUUAUUGGGCGUAAAGCGGGCGCAGGCGGUUUCUUAAGUCUGAUGUGAAAGCCCCCGGCUCAACCGGGGAGGGUCAUUGGAAACUGGGAGACUUGAGUGCAGAAGAGGAGAGUGGAAUUCCAUGUGUAGCGGUGAAAUGCGUAGAUAUAUGGAGGAACACCAGUGGCGAAGGCGGCUCUCUGGUCUGUAACUGACGCUGAGGCUCGAAAGCGUGGGGAGCAAACAGG